This is a non-coding RNA of Otolemur garnettii (small-eared galago), 117 nucleotides long. Lineage: Eukaryota; Metazoa; Chordata; Mammalia; Primates; Galagidae. The record is from Rfam.
GUGAGCAGUGUUAUUUCUUAUUUCUUCACAUUAUUUCUUAUGUGCUAUACAAAUAGCUGAUGGUUAAUUAGCAGUAUAACUAUAAAUAGUAAUGCUGCCAGUCUUCUUCAGACAAGA